GGCAGUCCUAAGCAAAGCUUUAGCUGUAAUUGGUACAAGUAAAAUGGAAGGAAUUCACAGGAAGUGACGAAAAGAAAUUAUCUUUAAAAAUUCCAAGAACUUCCUGGGAAGAUGUCUUUAGUCUUGAACUUGAUCUUGAAGGAGUUCCAGCUUGGGACCUUGGACUUUUCUUGGAUUUUUUCCCUUAGAACUACCACAUGGGCCUAA
RNAcentral lists this long non-coding RNA (207 nucleotides) under Monodelphis domestica (gray short-tailed opossum). RNAcentral describes it as "lncRNA (ENSMODG00000039462.1)". The record is from RNAcentral. Lineage: Eukaryota; Metazoa; Chordata; Mammalia; Didelphimorphia; Didelphidae.